AUAUCAAUAAGCGGAGGAAAAGAAACCAACAGGGAUUGCCCUAGUAACGGCGAGUGAAGCGGCAACAGCUCAAAUUUGAAAUCUGGCCCCCCGGCCCGAGUUGUAAUUUGCAGAGGAUGCUUCUGGUGAGGCACCUACCGAGUCCCCUGGAAUGGGGCGCCACAGAGGGUGAGAGCCCCGUAUGGUCGGACGCCGAACCUCUGUGAAGCUCCUUCGACGAGUCGAGUAGUUUGGGAAUGCUGCUCUAAAUGGGAGGUAAAUUUCUUCUAAAGCUAAAUACCGGCCAGAGACCGAUAGCGCACAAGUAGAGUGAUCGAAAGAUGAAAAGCACUUUGAAAAGAGAGUUAAAAAGCACGUGAAAUUGUUGAAAGGGAAGCGCUUGUGACCAGACUCGGGCUCGGGGGAUCAUCCGCCGUUCUCGCUGGUGCACUCCGUCGGGCUCGGGCCAGCAUCGGUUUUCCUCGGGGGACAAAGGCUUCGGGAACGUGGCUCCCUUCGGGGAGUGUUAUAGCCUGGUGCGUCAUGCUCCGGCGGGGACCGAGGACCGCGCUUCGGCAUGAUGCUGGCGUAAUGGUCAUCAGCGACCCGUCUUGAAACACGGACCGAGGAGUCAAGCAUUAGUGCGAGUGUUUGGGUGUAAAACCCGCACGCGCAAUGAAAGUGAACGUAGGUGAGAGCUUCGGCGCAUCAUCGACCGAUCCUGAUGUUUUCGGAUGGAUUUGAGUAGGAGCAUUAACGCUUGGACCCGAAAGAUGGUGAACUAUGCUUGAAUAGGGUGAAGCCAGAGGAAACUCUGGUGGAGGCUCGCAGCGGUUCUGACGUGCAAAUCGAUCGUCAAAUUUGGGCAUAGGGGCGAAAGACUAAUCGAACCAUCUAGUAGCUGGUUACCGCCGAAGUUUCCCUCAGGAUAGCAGUGUUGUUCUUCAGUUUUAUGAGGUAAAGCGAAUGAUUAGGGACUCGGGGGCG
Molecule: ribosomal RNA, 966 nt
Filed under: Muyocopron coloratum
Lineage: Eukaryota; Fungi; Ascomycota; Dothideomycetes; Muyocopronales; Muyocopronaceae
Description: partial large subunit ribosomal RNA
Rfam family: Eukaryotic large subunit ribosomal RNA
Source: RNAcentral